GACUCUCUGGCGUAAUGGUAGCGCAUCACGCUUCUAUUCAAGCGCCGCCGACAUCCCUCUGUGGCAAUGGGACGCCACCCACAGUUGAGUUAUGGACGGUCCGCUUGAACCGUGAAGGCUAUGAGUUCGAGUCUCAUGGGAGUUA
This is a non-coding RNA of Alternaria rosae, 145 nucleotides long. The record is from the annotation of a RefSeq genome assembly. NCBI's taxonomy places the organism in Eukaryota, Fungi, Ascomycota, Dothideomycetes, Pleosporales, Pleosporaceae.